GCCUACAGAUCCAGAUGUAGAACUCUCAGCCCCUUCUCCAGCACCAUGUCUGCCUGCACACUGCCAUAUCCUGCCAUGAUGAUAGUGGACUAAACCUCUGAAACUUGGCAAAAGAUCGCUCGCAUCAUCAUUUGCAAGUUAUCUAAAAUGUCAAAGGUGUCCUUUUGAAGUUUAUUACAGAUCACAUGCCAUAAGGCCCGGACGCUAGGGGUUUGAUAUUGCAAAGACAUUUUCCUGAGGAGAAGUGAGCAAACAUACCAGCCUAUUUACCCAUCCUGCAAUGGCACUGGAGCCCAGGUUAUGGCCUCUCACCGCCCCCCCAUCUUUCACCCAGAACUUGCCAACCUGCAGGAGGUUCCUUGGAACCAAAGCAAAGGGCGACUAUGGUGCCUACGGCUCUGAGAUGGGAGACAGUCCUGUCUAUUGGUUCACACAAAAGAGCCAAGUUCAACUCUAGCACGUUCUAGCUACGCGACCCUGGACAGGUCACUUACUAGUGAGAACAUGCUCUGCCGGCAUGGGGCCUCUACUCUCACAACUACAGAAAGUGAUGGAGGGAAUCCUGAGGAAGGUGCUCAGCACAGCACCGUGGACCCGGGAUCCUCUCACACCCCGGAUGCUCCUGCUUUCUCAUCUGGAACACGGGCAGAUGAUAAUGACAGCCUCGAUGACCAGCAAGGCACUGAAAAGUCCACCCCAGGUGCCGCGUCUACCGCCAGAUAGUCCCCUAAGCCUGCUAAGCCAGACGCCACAGCAUUGAAAGUGCUCCAUGAUGCCAGAGAAUAGUGGUGUGUUACUGCCUCACGCCUCACCCCGUACUACUCCAAAGCACUUGGAGUCACAUGACAGCUCUGGAUUUUCUCUCCUGCCCUGGGUGUGGCCGGUGGGCAGUGCAGGGGUCCUGAGAGGAGCGGAAGAUUUCCCAGGGCCUGUCAGCGUCCCCACCUUUCUGGAGCCUGAACAUCACUGCUGUGGCACAGUGUGUAGCCAUCAGCGGUCCUGCACAGAAGUGCGGUGGGUCCUGGGCUUCUGAGAGGAGCUUUGAAGCAGGCUCUGGGGCAGGAUGCUGGACUACCCUGCGCACUUUUGACUGUCAGAACAUGAUACAGGAAACAUCAGUGGGUAAAAACAAAGGUCAGCCAGCAUUUCCUGGAAAGCCCAAAUAAUAAAUAUUUGGGGCUUGGUGGGUCAUGUCAGUCUCUACGUCAACAUUCAAGGGCUCCACUAUGGUCUCCAAAGCAGCCAUAGACAACACAUAAAUGAAUGGAUGGGAUUGUUUCAAUAAAACUUUGUUUGAAAGCAGGUAGCAAUUUGACCCCCCUGGUGGUAGUCUGGCAGCCCUUGAUACAACAAAACAAGCCUAAAUCUACAGGAAAAAGCUGGGUCUAGUCUCAAUCUGCAAGUCUACUCCCUUUAGGCCUCAGUUUCCCCCACAGUAGAAUCAGAGCAUUGUACUAGACCAUUAUCUCAAUCCAAAAUUCCCAUAAGAAUAGGCAAGAGGUCAAGGUGUGAGACAUCAUCUUUGGAGGGCCUUGGACAGACUGGGGCUCCCCUUGCUCACCACGUGCAGCCAGACCUCAUUCCUGGUGGAUGCUUGCCACAUCACAGGGAAAAGUGACCCAAGGUGGCCUGGCUCUGUGGAAAACCCAGACAGGCUGAGUCCUAUGGGAAGUGCUGGCACUUUUAAAGCCUUUCUUGAAAUAGAACACACUUGCAAAAAAAAUAAAUAAAUAAAGUGCACACAUCUUAAUGAUCCAGCUCAGGGAAUUUUCUCCUCUGAACACACCCCUGUAACUGACACCCAAAUCAAAGCCGCCCUGUUCUAGUAACCAACCCCAAGGGAACCA
Peromyscus californicus insignis is the source of this 1847-nucleotide long non-coding RNA. RefSeq lists it as uncharacterized. The transcript has 4 exons. NCBI's taxonomy places the organism in Eukaryota, Metazoa, Chordata, Mammalia, Rodentia, Cricetidae. The record is from RefSeq and is a predicted model, not a curated record.